RNAcentral lists this long non-coding RNA (3230 nucleotides) under Brassica napus (rape). RNAcentral's name for it is "long non-coding RNA (BNAP_LNC009376)". Lineage: Eukaryota; Viridiplantae; Streptophyta; Magnoliopsida; Brassicales; Brassicaceae. The record is from RNAcentral.
AAAAGAGAGAAAAGAUAGAUGGAGAAGGAGAUGGUGGCUUGGGCCAUACUUAAAAACUAACAUAUAAAAUACGUUGAUGUGGCUGCCUUCAUUCUCCACUAUCCAAGGUGGAGCACUGUGAUUGGUUGUUUCUUGAUUUGGGUUCAUAUAUGUUAUAUAUAACUAUAUAUAUAAAGAUAGUAUCAUUAAUUAAUAUUCAUAAUUUGCAAGAGCCUCCUCAGGCACUGUAUGAGAAAUGGGGUGGCUCAAUUCUUUCUUCUCUCCCUUGAAGAAACUAUGGUUUCGCGUCAAUUCUACUCAGAAGAAGAGUAUGGCCUCUCUUUCACUCUCUAUAUCUUUCUCUCUACCGAUUCUAUAUCUAUUUUCCAGCAUUAUAUUUGAAUUCACACACACACACACACAUAUAUAUAUAUAUCUUUAUAAUUAAUGACCCAGUAGAUCAGGUAUACUUCUUUUUUUUCGUGGUUCAUAUAUACUCUCUCAAUGAAACUAUGAAAAUGAAUUUUGUUUGCAUCAUGAACCUAUGUAUAUGUGUGUAUGCGGCAUUGUGUUAAAGUAGAAAGAUGGAUAAUGUGCAGGAAGAGGAAUCCCCUAUAUAUUAUUUGUGAAACAUUACAACUUCUUUUUGUAGCCACAUGUCAUUACUAGGAUGAUUCUUAGAAUUAUUAGAGAAAUAGGUUGGUCCAUCUCAUUAUAUAAUAAGCUUUUUAUUAAACUAACCAUAAAUUAAUUAUUAAUAUCAUUUAUUAUUUCAUUAAAUAAAGAUUACGGAAUUGCCUAAUGUGGGUAGAGUAUAUAUGACAAUUAAUGAUUUUGAAUAAUAAAGAUCUGAUAAAAAAUGUAUCUUCUAUCAAUUUUUUUUAAUUUAAAACUAUUAAAAUAAUUUUAAAAAAAAAACACAAUAACCAUAUUAUAAAAAUUAGAUUUUUCUGUAUAUUUUAUAUUUUGAAUUUUAAAAAAUGACUAUAAAUUACUAAAACUGUUAAAAGUCUCACAUUCAAAUUUUGCGAUCCAUGGUUUAAAAUUUUUGUUAUGACAAAAUACAAAUGAUUACAAAAUCAUAUAAAUAAAAGUCUAAUUUAAUUAAUCAUUAAGAUUUAAAAUAUAUAUGUAUAUAUAUCAUUCUAAAUUAAACUAUAAACCAUAUUGAAUAAAUAAAUAUUUUAGUUUCAAAAUUUACUUUGAAUAAUUUUUUUGAUAAAAGUUUUGAACUAACAUUGAUAAUUUUUUUUAAAUUAUAAAUUACUAAAAUUAUUAAUCCCACAAUGAAAAUUUUGUUAUCAGUAAUUUAAAGUUUUUGCUAUUAAAGAUACACAUGAUCAAAAAAACAUAUGAGUAGAAAGUAUCAUUUAAUAGACAUUAAUAUUAAAAAUAUACUAUGUAUGUUAAUAUCAUUUAGAUUUAAUUACAUAUCCUAUCAAAUUUUUUUUAAAAAAAUUGUUUGGAUUAAUAAAAUUGAUUUAUACGUUCGCACCAAUUUAAUUAUAUAUGUAAUAGUUACUGACUUUUAAUUAUUCAAUAUAUAUUUAUUAUUUCAUAAUAUGUAAGAACAUAUAAUACAUAAAAUAAUUUAUAUAUAUAAUGUUUAUCCCGCGCAAGGCGCGUAUCUUAAUCUAGUAUACAUAUUAUACGCGGACGUGAAGUCAUGUCCAUAUGAAGAUGUGCAUGUUUUGUGGUCUAUACUCGUGGAGUCUCAUCCACACGCUUUCGUUUUGGUUCAGAGUUCAUAUAUGGAAUGUUCAUGCUCAAGGACGAAACAAAGGAGAAAAUUGUUGGCGAAUCAUUCAUAUAUAUAUAUAUAUAUAUAUAUAUAUGUUACUCUCACUUGUACAUAACAAUAUAAAUACACAGAGAUUCUAAAUCCUUAUGGUUUUGUACAUAUUCUCUCUCGCGACUAUAUUGGUAUAUGGAAUGUUCAGAGAGUUCAUAUUCUCUCUCGUGACUAUAUUGGUGUAUGUACGGUUCUCUUGAGGUCGUAUAUGCAUACUUAAAAUAUUGGUAUAUAGAUUGCAUUAUUAGGAGAAAUACUUUAGAUAUGACUUAAAAGCAUAUGGAUUGUGUAUAUGAAAAUGUCCUAUAUAUAAUAGUGUGCGUGACAAAAAAGCAAGGAAAGAUGUACCAUACGUUCUUAUAAUUGGUAGACAUGAAAAGUUAAAGGUUGAUGGCGAAAGGAGAGUGAAUAGAAGUUGAAUUGUCAUGGAGAUUGUUGGCUUGUGUCGGUUGAUGACGUUAAUUAGUUGGACUUUGGAAAUUUGCGGUUGAAUUUAUUUUGCGUUUCCUAUUCGUUUAUGCUUAUAAGUUUUUUUCUAGGGGUAAAAUUUAUACAUAUAAGUUGAAAGUUAAGCUGGCAUUCUUUAAAGAAAAAAAAUGAGGGAAGCCAAAAAAGAAUGUUAUGAUUUAGUUAUUAUUAUUGUUACUAGGUCGUUGUCCGCGCAUGGUUACAUCAUUUUCUUUUUAAAUUUAGUAUAAAUAUGGUUACAUCGUUUGAUAACAUUGUAAUAAAAACUUACAAAGUUUGAGCUUGGACAGUAGUUAGAGAACUUGUUGUCCACUUAUUAAUAUUCUGCUGAUGAUCUUCUUUGACUAUAAGUUGUAUCAAAGUUCAAUAUUUGCACAAAAUUUCAGAGGUAAAUUAGAGUUUGGCAUUUUGAAUAUAAUAAGAGAGUGAGAAAGAAAUCAUGCAUAUUGAUCCGAGGGGUUUGUGGUUUAUUUGGAAAAAUAUAAGAAAGUAUGCAAGCUAGAAUAACUUUAAAAGAAGAUGAAUGAGAUGAAAUCACGUGAAAGGAAUAUAAAAAACAUUCAGCUUAAUACUACACCCAACAAUCGAGGGUUACUUUUUGUUGUUCUUCCCCUCUCAGGAUUCAGGAAGUAAUGUUAGUGUUUGAAAUAUACCUGGUGUUUUUGAGUCUCGAGGGCUCUGGUUCGGUGCUGAAGCUUCUAUAAUUUGGGAGCUCCUAGAAUCACUCUCUUCAAUGGAUUGGCUACUGACUGUCUUAUCUCUCACAUCUUCUUCUGGGCUUUGUAAUGAGCUUAUAAGAUGUUUUAUCUUUUAGAAUCAUGUGAGUAACUUAAAUCAGAAAAAAUCCAACACAUUGCAACAUUUUUGUUGUCUUUUUCAUCACGACCUGAUUGAUCUUCACAUUGUUUAUGCUCGGCGAAAAUCUUCCCAAAGUCAUUUACUUUCAUUUUCAACUUGUCAAAUUGUCAUUUUAAAUUCAGGUAAAAUAAAG